This is a long non-coding RNA of Salvelinus fontinalis (brook trout), 851 nucleotides long. RefSeq lists it as uncharacterized. The transcript is spliced from 4 exons. Lineage: Eukaryota; Metazoa; Chordata; Actinopteri; Salmoniformes; Salmonidae. The record is from RefSeq and is a predicted model, not a curated record.
AGAUUGGAGCUCUGAACCCGCCCUCUUGUCAGGGGAUACAGCUGGCUGCAAUUUCCGACUCCUUCUGCAGCUUGAAAAGCCAGUGUUCCUUUGUCAGGAGGAGAGAGAGAGCUUCGUUGUAUGUGUUGGUCUGGGAGUUGCGUUCCCUUCAAGAGGUGUACGUAACACCACUCAAAAAGCUUUUAUAGAUGCAGACCCGAAUACAUUCAAGCUGCACUCUGAGAGCAAGCAUCCCACGUCUCCAAUGGUCCCAGUACUGGUUGAUGUUCAAGCCUAAGUGAUCACACGCACUCAAAUGGACCUACAGCGGGGACACACAAUGACCACGAUUUGAAUGCUGCAACUGAGACAGAAUGACAUCGAGGGAUAUACGCUGAGACCCCGAGUAUGGCUGGACAUGGAAUGAAUAUUUGUGACAACGACCUAAAAGGUGUGCAGAAGCACACCAGGACCCCAUUUUAUAUGUAUUACAUGUCCAACCAUCCCUCUAGAUACCCCUUAUUCCACACUAUGCCUUUUAUGCUCCAUGGUCCCUCAACUUCGGAUAACUUUGGAACGCGCCAUUUUAUCUCUAUAAACACACCCUACCUUCACCCAUUUUUAUUUUUUCUUCUCCCCAUGCUGCUUCACUUGUUGUUCUCCUAAUUUGAUAACAUCUAGACUCAGUACCACGUUUAAGUGUUGUGGUGUACUGUUUUGGCUCACAAUUGUCAGCAGCAAUGUGGACAGUGUUAAAUUGACCAGAAAGGUGUUGAUAUAGCUGCAUUUAGGCAUGGCCUAAAUCUGUUAAGUGUUUCUCAUUCUGCUAGAGUUAACUUUGUAUUUUAUAUUAAACCUACCUUACACAUCCA